Corapipo altera (White-ruffed manakin) is the source of this 209-nucleotide long non-coding RNA. RefSeq lists it as uncharacterized. Lineage: Eukaryota; Metazoa; Chordata; Aves; Passeriformes; Pipridae. The record is from RefSeq and is a predicted model, not a curated record. The transcript is spliced from 3 exons.
AUAGUAAACAAUUCCAAGCAAAUCAAGAGGCACCUGAUACAAAUUAUCCAAAAUCCUUGAAAGAACCAUUCCAGUACAGGAAAUGCAUAGUGUUUUAAAGAAGGAAGGAAGUGAAAUUAUGGACUCAAAAGCCAGGAGAUGCAUGUAGAAAAUGCAGCAGUGAGAGAGAAUAUACACCAAAUGAUGGACAUUAAAAACAUAACCUCUAC